AACGCUUCUCAGCCUUUUGGCUAAGAUCAAGUGUAAAAAUAAUGUGAAAUUUCUUUCUGAUGACUGGAGAGUUUGUCACUAAUCUCAUAACUAAUUCUCUCCACUAAAAUCCCAUAUUUAUUUUAAAUAGAA
Molecule: small nuclear RNA, 132 nt
Filed under: Cervus elaphus hippelaphus
Lineage: Eukaryota; Metazoa; Chordata; Mammalia; Artiodactyla; Cervidae
Also listed under: 1 other name
Description: U2 spliceosomal RNA
Rfam family: U2 spliceosomal RNA
About the family: U2 is a small nuclear RNA (snRNA) component of the spliceosome (involved in pre-mRNA splicing).
Source: Rfam by way of RNAcentral